UCCUCGAAAGGGCUAACCCGCCGCGAGGCGGGGGCGCAAAGCCACGGGCCUGCGGGGUACCCCACCAAACCACCCGCAGGUCGCCUGGUUGCCGAA
Molecule: non-coding RNA, 96 nt
Filed under: Gemmata sp. SH-PL17
Lineage: Bacteria; Pseudomonadati; Planctomycetota; Planctomycetia; Gemmatales; Gemmataceae
Also listed under: 1 other name
Description: c-di-GMP-I riboswitch aptamer
Rfam family: c-di-GMP-I riboswitch aptamer
About the family: GEMM was predicted in a large-scale screen for bacterial structured RNA regulatory elements.
Source: Rfam by way of RNAcentral